ACAGAGGUCCCAAGCGUUGUUCGGAUUUACUGGGCGUAAAGGGUGCGUAGGUUGUCAGGCAAGUGAGACGUGAAACAGCCAAGCCUAACUUGGAAAAUGCGUUGGAAACUGCUUGGGUAGAGGAAUGGAGGGGAGACUGGAAUACUUGGUGUAGCAGUGAAAUGCGUAGGUAUGAAGUGGAACACCGGGGGGUAAGGCGAGUCACUGGACAUUUCCUGACGCUUGAGCACGAGAGGGAGGGGAACAAAAAG
Molecule: ribosomal RNA, 251 nt
Filed under: uncultured prokaryote
Description: partial 16S rRNA
Rfam family: Bacterial small subunit ribosomal RNA
Source: RNAcentral